This is a non-coding RNA of Camellia sinensis, 2129 nucleotides long. The record is from RefSeq and is a predicted model, not a curated record. NCBI's taxonomy places the organism in Eukaryota, Viridiplantae, Streptophyta, Magnoliopsida, Ericales, Theaceae.
CUCUCUCUCUCAUUUGUUUACUUGGGGAAGGUUGUUAAGAAAGGAAGGAUGCACAUGCACCCGUGAGUCAAAGCUCUUUGGCACGUGCCAGAGGUAGCAUACACACAGUUCCAAAGAAAAGUACAAAACUCGCACGUUUCAACCACUGAAGAUCUUUUUAUCUUAUCGUCUAUAAAAAUGGGCUUAGAAGUUAGACAAUGGCAAAGUGCACAGACCUCACUGAUUCACCUGAGUCUCUCAGAUGAGUUAUGAGGUGAUAGAAUUAUUGAAGAGUAUGAUAUAUAUGUAGAUGUAGUCUGAUCGACAACGGGUGAGUGGUUUCCUUGCUAGGCUUGUCAAGUGAACAGUCUUUCGCUAUGAGCCUUUGUUUCGUUGUCUGUUCGACCUUGAAUUUAUGGUUGAUAUGAAAAAAAAAAAAAACCUAGUUAGAAUCGAUUUAAAUUGUAUGAUAUAACUUUAAAUAACCUUUGAUUAGAUCAAAACCGAUCAACUAUAGUAUUGGUUCGAAGAUUUAUGCGAUACAUGCUUGGCGUUCUGCUGAACUUCUCUGCCAACAUGAACUUCCGUGCCAUCUCUCUUUCACUCAGAAUUCAACCUCGAUCAUGCUUAUUUUUUCGUUUUAGAAGACUUCUAGUGUGACGAUAAGUAACAGCCUGUUUAGAUUCAUACAAGGAGGAAAGAAAACACAAUAUUUCUGUCCCAACUUAAUCAUUUAUUCUCCUUUCCGAUUCCCAAAAAGACUAUAGUCAUCUAGCUUAGGUUAGAAUUCAGAUACGUAGUUCAAGGUUUUAAUAGCUCAUUUUGAUUCGUAUAAGAAGGAAAGAAAACAAAAUCUUCUUUCUCCCAACUUAAUGAUUUAUUUUCUAUUUCGAUUCCCAAAAGGACUGUAGUCAUAUAAAUUAGGUCAAAAUUCAGAUAUACAGUUCAAGGCUUUUUUUAUUUUUUUUAUUUUUUUUGUCAGUUUGCAUCAUCUAGGUUCUUUUUAUAAUUAUUUCGAUCACCCUUAGCUUGUAGGUUAGAUCUAUUAAUAAAUAGAUGUCUUUGUCUUUACCAGAUUAAUCAGUUAUUCAUUGGAUAUCACAUAACAAGAUGAGUAUAUGGAAAUUAAUUUGCAUUGCAUGUAAGGAAAAACCAGUAUGACUUACUUCUAUGGCCUGAAAACUCUAGGUUUUUGUAUAACCACCAAGUGAGAUUAUCAAAGCCAAACAAAAAAUGAAGGAUGAACAUUAACAACAAUUAGGGGUUUCGGAUAUAAGUCCCUCAUUAAAUUAAAGAAUUAGUACUUCUAACAUAAGAUGGUGAUCUUUUUGAAUUCAUUCUCUGAAUGCAUUAUUUUUAUGAAGGAGCCUUGAACAAAAUGAUACGUUGUAAUAGACCGAACAAAAAGAUGGUUAACAGCACAGAUAAUGAGCCAGUUUGGUGCAGUUUGUUAUAAGUUGAAAACUGAUAAUUGGAAAAUUAUUCCUUCCCCUGGUUUUCAAUAAUCAGUUGAGAAAAUUAUUUUUACCCAGUAAACUGUAAGUAGAAGUUGUAUCUAACACUCUACCACAGAUUUUCAAAACAAAAAAGCAAUAACCAACCCCAGAUGCUGCACUAAACAUGACUAAUGAUCUAUUAAAUUUUGGUGUAUAUUUAGAUAGAUUUUUACUUUUAUUCUUUGUUAGAUAGGCUGUAUAGUUAGAAAGUUGGUUGAUGCAUAAGAUGGUCUCUGCCUGUGUGUUCUAUGAAGGAUGACUGAGAAGAGGAAUGUGAGGUAAAAGAUCCAAGUGGGGACUCCUUGGUAGCAUUUGAACACUGAGACAUAUGUAAGGUACAUUUAUUGAAGGACAACUAGCGCUGUAAAGUACAGUUAAUUAGGACAACUAGGGCUGUUUGGCCGAUGUGGUUGCAAACUUGGGCCAUAACCUUUUGACAAGUGCUACUUACUGCGAAUUUUCAAGAACACGACGAUAUUUUCUGCAGUGAUUGGUUGUUGUUGGAUGGUGCGUUUACUCAGCGACAGUCAAUUAGUCUAACAUUAAUAUAUAAGAGUUUUAGAGAUUAAAUUUUUUUAUUUUAAAAAGUAAAAAUUUUGUUGUAAAAAAUAUUUAGGGAUCAAUUUAGAUCAUCGUAAAGAUAGUUCCUGAAAG